GACGAACGCUGGCGGCGUGCCUAACACAUGCAAGUCGAACGGAAAGGCCCUGCUUUUGUGCGGUGCUCGAGUGGCGAACGGGUGAGUAACACGUGAGUAACCUGUACCUGACUUUGGGAUAACUUCAGGAAACUGGGGCUAUUACCGGAUAGGAGCUAUUGAUGCAUGGUGGGCGUUGGUAAGAUUCGGCGGUUGGGGAUGGACUCGCGGCUUAUCAGCCUGUUGGUGGGGUAGUGGCUUACCAAGGCUUUGACGGGUAGCCGGCCUGAGAGGGUGACCAGCCACAUUGGGACUGAGAUACGGCCCAGACUCCUACGGGAGGCAGCAGUGGGGAAUAUUGCACAAUGAGCGGAAGCCUGAUGCAGCGACGCCGCGUGCGGGAUAACGGCCUUCGGGUUGUAAACCGCUUUCUCCUGUAACGAGGCGUGAGUGACGGUAAUGGGUAAAAAAGCACCGGCUAACUACGUG
This 468-nucleotide ribosomal RNA is filed under the name uncultured bacterium. RNAcentral's name for it is "partial 16S ribosomal RNA". It matches the Rfam family "Bacterial small subunit ribosomal RNA", at positions 28 to 507 of the family's 1533-position model. The record is from RNAcentral.